RNAcentral lists this ribosomal RNA (462 nucleotides) under Namalycastis jaya. RNAcentral describes it as "partial 16S ribosomal RNA". It matches the Rfam family "Bacterial large subunit ribosomal RNA", at positions 1926 to 2622 of the family's 2925-position model. The record is from RNAcentral. Lineage: Eukaryota; Metazoa; Annelida; Polychaeta; Phyllodocida; Nereididae.
AACGGCCGCGGUACCUGAGCCGUGCAAAGGUAGCAUAAUCACUUGCCCUUUAAUUGGGGGCUAGUAUGAAUGGACACACGAAAAUAUACUGUCUCCUAACCAAAAAUAGAAACUAGAACUCAAGUGAAGAUACUUGAAUAUCACUUCAAGACAAGAAGACCCUACAGAGCUUUAUUAAUUAUGUAUUACAUUACCUCACCACAACUUUCAUUAAUUUGGUUGGGAUGACCAAAGACCAAUAAAACCGUCUUUCUCAAUUUUGGACAACAAUCAAAUCACCCAUUACUGUACACGACGCAGCUACCUUAGGGAUAACAGGCUAAUCCCGCUAGAGAGAUCACAUUGACAGCGGGGGUUGGCACCUCGAUGUUGGCUUAGUGAACCCUCUGAGCGCAGCAGCCCAGACGAGUCGGUUUGUUCAACCGUUAAAACACUACGUGAUCUGAUUUCCAGACCAGACUU